Molecule: long non-coding RNA, 2150 nt
Organism: Corvus hawaiiensis (hawaiian crow)
Lineage: Eukaryota; Metazoa; Chordata; Aves; Passeriformes; Corvidae
Exons: 3
Source: RefSeq, a predicted model, not a curated record
GAAACAUCAUGACACAUUGUCCUGCUCCCUCUGGCGAGUCCUAAGUUGAGUUUCAGUGCAUCAUCUCCCUCUGUCUCACGUCAGUCUGCAGAACAGCAGGAAGUGCAGUCUGGAUUUGCUCCCACCUCCUGAUGUGUCGCAGCUCCUGUCAAUAGUUUGGGAUGAUGCCAGAGGAGACCCCCUAACAGGAGACCUGCAGGGAGGACUGCAGUGAGGAGAUGGUGAGAGCAUCACAGUGCUGGCGUGUGUUGCCAUGACAUUGGAGUAAUUGCUGCUGCUUUCUCUGACAGAAAUUAAUUCUUUCAGAAUUAAGUGACCAAUUUUGCCAACGCUCAGCUGCAGGAGGAAAGGAAUUUUCUGUAAUUCAGCAAAUAAAUACACUUCCUAUACACUUCUAUAUCUACACCUCCGCAACAGCAGCAAAGCAUUUUUGCUGUUCCCACUGUUUGCUAACACCUUGCAGUUUGCACUGGGAAAUUGUGAGACUGAUGAUAGAACACAACACAAUGCAAUCUUGAAAUUUUCCCUAAAGCACAGUAGGAGCGGAGCAGGAGAAUAUAAAGGUGCAAGGUGGCAAAGCUAUGUCUAGGUUGGCUACUUUGAAAAACAAAUCCAGUUUCCUCUGGAUGGUUUCCUCAGUGGUUUAAGCCACAGCUCUUUGACUCAGCGGACACCAUGGAUGUUCAGAUUUGCCAUUUUCCACAAUGUUCUUGACCACAGUCUUGUCAGAGCCACCUAAGUACCAACCUGCAGGGCCCACGUUCUGUUUGCUCACGUUUCAUCUCAGCAAGAACUGUUACAUAAAAACCUUGUACAGGUAAUCCAAGGUAAAAAGCAAUUAGCUAAAACCCAGGAUCAGGUAAAACUAUACAAUAAUAAGGAGAUGGAGUGAGCCCUGGCUUAGUGAGCACUGGGAAACUUGAGUGGGUUUAAUAAGCCCCCUGAAGCCUGGCUGUCUACUGCAGGUCAUGGUGUUCCUGUGCCUGCCAUAUCCAAGGUAGGAUGAGAUGUUUCCUGACAGUUCCUGACAGGCAGGAGAUUACCGAUCUGCUGACGGAAGAGUUCUGCCCAAAUCCUCCUGUUUAGAAGGGGUCCCAUUCAGGAUCUGGCAGGUUUUGCCCAUCUCCCCUCUUGGAUCCCCUGCAUAUGAAAAAAAUCUCUGUGGUAACUAAGGCUAAAAGGACUCCUCACCCAGGAGCUUUGCUAUAUAAAAAAUAGCAGCAGCACCUCAGAUUUCCUAAUUGUUUUACAUUUAUUUUGGAGUUUGACAUUAAAGGGGAGAAGGGAAUAUAUAGGGAAUAUACAGUUUUCCUACCCAUCUAGUAGAUACUGAGGUUAAAGAGAUUUAACUUGCAGGAAGACCACCCAGCCAGCCUGUGGGAGAGCUGGCAGAUGAACAAAGCCCUCUUGAUUUAUUAGCAAGCAUCCAUCCUAGAAGAUGUUGAUCCUUCCUCCAGAGAAGGGAAUGGACCUUUAAUAGCACAGUUAAUUAGGGAUUUGUUUUAUUUUUUUUUUUAAUUUUUUUAUUUUAACCAGGUCAUACAGCACCCCAAAGAAGUUUCAUAUUUUUCAUUCCAGCACCUGGUGGAGGAUGUUGGAAAAUCCUGCUGGCCUUUGGUGGCCCCAGAUGCCCGAGGGCUUCUGUUCUGCCUCCAGCACUUUCCCCUGCCACGCACUGAGCAGCCUUCCCGUGUGAAACAGGGAGUCGUUUUGCUGAGCCAUGUUUUAAAACAAGGUUUGGAUGAACAUCUUGAAUGUUUCCUUGAAAUCCCCCCCACCUCUGAGUCAUCAGAAUGACUUUGGAAAGCAACCAGAGCAAACAAUCCCCAUCCUCUCAGAGAAGUGGCAGCCCCGGCUCCCUGCUGGGUGGCAUCAGCCCCUCAUGCCUCCGCCCUGUUUCCGGACACAAGCCCUUGUCCAUUUGCCAAAUCCAGAACUGGGUUAUUGUUUCCAUUGCUGCAUCUCUGGAGUUCACUUGUUUUCCUGGAAACCUGUCCUAGAUGUGUGAGGUUCCUGAAUGUCUUUGGAUGAUGGCAGCUCUCUGUGAAACACAGCUGGGAAUUGUGCUCCACGUGCUCCAGUGAGAAAAUCCCAACAAUACGGACUCUUCCACUAGGGCUGGAGCCCCUCUGCUCUGCAGCCAGCCUGGG